CGGAGUGUAGCUCAGCCUGGUAGAGCACCGUCUUCGGGAGGCGGGGGUCCUCAGUUCGAUUCUGGGCACUCCGACCA
This 77-nucleotide transfer RNA is filed under the name Magnetovibrio sp. Its description in RNAcentral is "tRNA-Pro". It matches the Rfam family "tRNA". Rfam says of the family: Transfer RNA (tRNA) molecules are approximately 80 nucleotides in length. Their secondary structure includes four short double-helical elements and three loops (D, anti-codon, and T loops). The record is from RNAcentral. Lineage: Bacteria; Pseudomonadati; Pseudomonadota; Alphaproteobacteria; Rhodospirillales; Magnetovibrionaceae.